AAAUUGAAGAGUUUGAUCAUGGCUCAGAUUGAACGCUGGCGGCAGGCCUAACACAUGCAAGUCGAACGGUAACAGGAAGCAGCUUGCUGUUUCGCUGACGAGUGGCGGACGGGUGAGUAAUGUCUGGGAAACUGCCUGAUGGAGGGGGAUAACUACUGGAAACGGUAGCUAAUACCGCAUAACGUCGCAAGACCAAAGAGGGGGA
RNAcentral lists this ribosomal RNA (205 nucleotides) under Escherichia coli. Its description in RNAcentral is "partial 16S ribosomal RNA". It matches the Rfam family "Bacterial small subunit ribosomal RNA", at positions 1 to 213 of the family's 1533-position model. Lineage: Bacteria; Pseudomonadati; Pseudomonadota; Gammaproteobacteria; Enterobacterales; Enterobacteriaceae. RNAcentral also lists the same sequence under 1 other name. The record is from RNAcentral.